This 494-nucleotide ribosomal RNA is filed under the name uncultured bacterium. RNAcentral's name for it is "partial 16S ribosomal RNA". It matches the Rfam family "Bacterial small subunit ribosomal RNA", at positions 28 to 507 of the family's 1533-position model. The record is from RNAcentral.
GACGAACGCUGGCGGCGCGCUUAACACAUGCAAGUCGAACGGAAAGGCCUGCUUUCCCUUGUGGAUUGCGGGUACUCGAGUGGCGAACGGGUGAGUAACACGUGAGUGAUCUGCCCCCAACUUGGGUAUAAGCCUGGGAAACUGGGUCUAAUUCCCGAUAGGACUGCAGGGUGGCGCCUGUGGUGGAAAACGAUUUUCUAGUGGUUGGGGAUGAGCUCGCGGCCUAUCAGCUUGUUGGUGGGGUAAUGGCCUACCAAGGCGGCGACGGGUAGCCGGCCUGAGAGGGUGGACGGCCACAUUGGGACUGAGAUACGGCCCAGACUCCUACGGGAGGCAGCAGUGGGGAAUAUGACACAAUGGGCGGAAGCCUGAUGCAGCGACGCCGCGUGGGGGAUGACGGCCUUCGGGUUGUAAACUCCUUUCGACCGCGAGGAAGCCACCUGGUUGGAAGGGUGGUGACGGUAGUGGUAGAAGAAGCACCGGCUAACUACGUG